GAAGUCUCAACAGGAGCGAUAUGAGAACACACAAUCAUAUGCAUAAAUAUUGUGUAUGUGUGUGUGCACGUGUGCAUGUGCAUGUGCGUGCUUGUGUGUUCCCAGGUCGCCCCUGCCGAGCCUGC
Molecule: microRNA precursor, 125 nt
Filed under: Amborella trichopoda
Lineage: Eukaryota; Viridiplantae; Streptophyta; Magnoliopsida; Amborellales; Amborellaceae
Description: MIR398 microRNA precursor family
Rfam family: MIR398 microRNA precursor family
Source: Rfam by way of RNAcentral